UACGUAGGGGGCAAGCGUUGUCCGGAAUCAUUGGGCGUAAAGCGCGUGUAGGCGGCCAGAUAAGUCCGCUGUGAAAUCUCGAGGCUCAACUUCGAGCUGUCGGUGGAAACUGUCUGGCUAGAGUCCGGAAGAGGAGAAUGGAAUUCCUGGUGUAGCGGUGAAAUGCGCAGAUAUCAGGAAGAACACCCGUGGCGAAGGCGGUUCUCUGGGACGGUACUGACGCUGAGACGCGAAAGCGUGGGGAGCGAACAGG
RNAcentral lists this ribosomal RNA (253 nucleotides) under uncultured bacterium. RNAcentral's name for it is "partial 16S ribosomal RNA". It matches the Rfam family "Bacterial small subunit ribosomal RNA", at positions 524 to 776 of the family's 1533-position model. RNAcentral also lists the same sequence under 1 other name. The record is from RNAcentral.